Molecule: long non-coding RNA, 285 nt
Filed under: Lathyrus oleraceus (garden pea)
Lineage: Eukaryota; Viridiplantae; Streptophyta; Magnoliopsida; Fabales; Fabaceae
Description: Pisum sativum (pea) long non-coding RNA (PSAT_LNC035619)
Source: RNAcentral
AAAUACACAAAAGAAAGAAUAAUCAAAUGGGAAGCCUCCCCACUCCAAUGCCCCUUCAAAUCUCAUUUAAAUCCCUAAUUAAUGCUCUGGAUGACACAUCAAACAAGGGAGAAAGAAUCCUAACUUUCCAUAACAACAUUAAUUCAACAAUUUUUUAUUACUCAAUCCAAUGAAUGUAUGAUGCAUGUCAUAAUUAUUAUAAUGAAAAGAAUUUAAAAAAAAAACAAAAAGUUAACGUAACAAAAUCUGCCAAGAAAAAAAACAAAGUGUAUCCUCUCUGUUUAU